Molecule: ribosomal RNA, 1389 nt
Filed under: uncultured bacterium
Lineage: Bacteria
Description: 16S ribosomal RNA
Rfam family: Bacterial small subunit ribosomal RNA
Source: RNAcentral
CGGCGUACGGGUGCGUAACGCGUAUGGAACUUGCCCAUAUCAUUGGGAUAGCCCGGGGAAACUCGGAUUAAUACCGGAUAAUAAUACGUAUCGCAUGGUAUGUAUUUGAAAGAUUUAUCGGAUAUGGAUAGUCAUGCGUCAGAUUAGUUAGUUGGUGAGGUAACGGCUCACCGAGGCGAUGAUCUGUAGGGGUCCUGAGAGGGAGAUCCCCCACACUGGUACUGAGACACGGACCAGACUCCUACGGGAGGCAGCAGUGGGGAAUAUUGGACAAUGGGUGAGAGCCUGAUCCAGCCAUUCCGCGUGAAGGACGACGGACCUAUGGUUUGUAAACUUCUUUUAUAUAGGGAUAAACCUACUCUCGUGAGGGUAGCUGAAGGUACUAUAUGAAUAAGCACCGGCUAACUCCGUGCCAGUAGCCGCGGUAAUACGGAGGGUGCAAGCGUUAUCCGGAUUUAUUGGGUUUAAAGGGUCCGUAGGUGGAUUUAUAAGUCAGUGGUGAAAUCUUGUUGCUUAACGACAAAACUGCCAUUGAUACUGUUGAUCUUGAGUGGAAUUGAAGUAGCUAGAAUGAGUAGUGUAGCGGUGAAAUGCAUAGAUAUUACUCGGAAUACCGAUUGCGAAGGCAGGUUACUAAAUUUUUACUGACACUGAUGGACGAAAGCGUGGGUAGCGAACAGGAUUAGAUACCCUGGUAGUCCAUGCUGUAAACGAUGUACACUCGUUGUUGGGCUGAAGUUCAGUGACUAAGCGAAAGUGAUAAGUGUACCACCUGGGGAGUACGUUCGCAAGAAUGAAACUCAAAGGAAUUGACGGGGGCCCGCACAAGCGGUGGAUCAUGUGGUUUAAUUCGAUGAUACGCGAGGAACCUUACCAAGGCUUAAAUGGGUUCUGACAGGUUUAGAGAUAGACUUUUCUUUGGACAGGAUUCAAGGUGCUGCAUGGUUGUCGUCAGCUCGUGCCGUGAGGUGUCAGGUUAAGUCCUAUAACGAGCGCAACCCUUGCCGAUAGUUGCCAUCAUUGAGUUGGGGACUCUAUCGGGACUGCCUACGCAAGUAGAGAGGAAGGUGGGGAUGACGUCAAAUCAUCACGGCCCUUACGUCUUGGGCUACACACGUGAUACAAUGGUAGGUACAGGGGGCAGCUACUCUGCGAGGAGGUGCGAAUCUCGAAAGCCUAUCUCAGUUCGGAUUGGAGUCUGCAACUCGACUCUAUGAAGCUGGAAUCGCUAGUAAUCGCACAUCAGCCAUGGUGCGGUGAAUACGUUCCCGGGCCUUGUACACACCGCCCGUCAAGCCAUGGGAGUCUGGGGUACCUGAAGUUGGUGACCGUAAAAGGAGCUGCCUAGGGUAAGACAGGUAACUAGGGCUAAGUCGUAACAAGGUAACC